This is a non-coding RNA of Stegodyphus mimosarum, 73 nucleotides long. The record is from Rfam. NCBI's taxonomy places the organism in Eukaryota, Metazoa, Arthropoda, Arachnida, Araneae, Eresidae.
GCCUUCGUGGUGUAGUGGUCUGCCUGCUCGACGCGUAACCGAGAGGUCCGUGGUUCGAUUCCCGGCGAAGGCG